AUGCAUGAUCAGGUCGGCCUGGACCUAGACGGCUUUCCACUCGACCACGGGUUUCCGGAGGACUACGAGCAAGAGGAAGAGGAUGAGUUUGACAUCGAAGGGGAGCCUUUGUUCAAAGACGAGCUCGCCAACCAAGCCGCCGAGGUGAAGCCGAAGCGCAAGAGCAAGCGGAUGAAGGCAUACACGGCGGCCGAGGACAAGCUCCUUUGUGAGUGUUGGAGGGACAUUGGGCAAGACCCCCAAGGUCGCGCCGAACAAAAGGCAUCAACCUUUUGGAUUCAUGUCCACCGUGAGUUCCAUGAGCGCAAUAAGUUUCCGCCAUACCAAAUACUAAGCACGCGCGGGUGGGUGUCCAUUUCAAAGCGAUGGAGGGUGAUCCAACAAGAGUGCAACAAGUUUUGUGCCACUCUUGAGAGCGUCAAGGCCCGCCCGUGA
Molecule: ribosomal RNA, 435 nt
Filed under: Triticum aestivum (bread wheat)
Lineage: Eukaryota; Viridiplantae; Streptophyta; Magnoliopsida; Poales; Poaceae
Description: partial small subunit ribosomal RNA
Source: RNAcentral